RNAcentral lists this ribosomal RNA (253 nucleotides) under uncultured bacterium. RNAcentral's name for it is "partial 16S ribosomal RNA". It matches the Rfam family "Bacterial small subunit ribosomal RNA", at positions 524 to 776 of the family's 1533-position model. The record is from RNAcentral.
UACAGAGGUCUCAAGCGUUGUUCGGAUUCAUUGGGCGUAAAGGGUGCGUAGGCGGCGCGGUAAGUCGGGUGUGAAAUCUCGGAGCUUAACUCCGAAACUGCAUUCGAUACUGGCGAUCUCGAGUCCGGGAGAGGUGAGUGGAACUGCGAGUGUAGAGGUGAAAUUCGUAGAUAUUCGCAAGAACACCAGUGGCGAAGGCGGCUCACUGGCCCGGUACUGACGCUGAGGUGCGAAAGCGUGGGGAGCAAACAGG